This 1168-nucleotide ribosomal RNA is filed under the name Rhodococcus pyridinivorans JCM 10940 = NBRC 100608. RNAcentral's name for it is "bacterial LSU rRNA". It matches the Rfam family "Bacterial large subunit ribosomal RNA", at positions 1764 to 2925 of the family's 2925-position model. The record is from RNAcentral. Lineage: Bacteria; Bacillati; Actinomycetota; Actinomycetes; Mycobacteriales; Nocardiaceae.
GAGCUGGGGGUGGUCGCAGAGACCAGAGAGAAGCGACUGUUUACUAAAAACACAGGUCCGUGCGAAGUCGUAAGACGAUGUAUACGGACUGACGCCUGCCCGGUGCUGGAAGGUUAAGAGGACCGGUUAGCGGAGCAAUCCGCGAAGCUGAGAAUUUAAGCCCCAGUAAACGGCGGUGGUAACUAUAACCAUCCUAAGGUAGCGAAAUUCCUUGUCGGGUAAGUUCCGACCUGCACGAAUGGCGUAACGACUUCUCUGCUGUCUCGACCACAGACUCGGCGAAAUUGCAUUACGAGUAAAGAUGCUCGUUACGCGCGGCAGGACGAAAAGACCCCGGGACCUUCACUAUAGCUUGGUAUUGGUGUUCGGUUCGGUUUGUGUAGGAUAGGUGGGAGACUGUGAAGCUCAUACGCCAGUAUGGGUGGAGUCGUUGUUGAAAUACCACUCUGAUCGUAUUGGACCUCUAACCUCGGACCAUGAUCUGGUUCAGGGACAGUGCCUGGUGGGUAGUUUAACUGGGGCGGUUGCCUCCCAAAAUGUAACGGAGGCGCCCAAAGGUUCCCUCAGCCUGGUUGGCAAUCAGGUGUCGAGUGCAAGUGCACAAGGGAGCUUGACUGUGAGACUGACAGGUCGAGCAGGGACGAAAGUCGGGACUAGUGAUCCGGCACCGGCAUGUGGAAGCGGUGUCGCUCAACGGAUAAAAGGUACCCCGGGGAUAACAGGCUGAUCUUCCCCAAGAGUCCAUAUCGACGGGAUGGUUUGGCACCUCGAUGUCGGCUCGUCGCAUCCUGGGGCUGGAGUAGGUCCCAAGGGUUGGGCUGUUCGCCCAUUAAAGCGGCACGCGAGCUGGGUUUAGAACGUCGUGAGACAGUUCGGUCUCUAUCCGCCGCGCGCGUUAGAAACUUGAGGAAGGCUGUCCCUAGUACGAGAGGACCGGGACGGACGAACCUCUGGUGUGCCAGUUGUCCCGCCAGGGGCAUGGCUGGUUGGCUACGUUCGGAAGGGAUAACCGCUGAAAGCAUCUAAGCGGGAAGCCUGUUCCAAGAUGAGGUUUCUCACCCCCUCGAGGGGGUAAGGCCCCCGGCAGACCACCGGGUUGAUAGGCCGGAACUGGAAGCCCAGCAAUGGGUGGAGGUGACCGGUACUAAUAGGCCGAGGACUUACCACG